Non-coding RNA from Acanthosepion pharaonis, 109 nucleotides. The record is from the annotation of a GenBank genome assembly. NCBI's taxonomy places the organism in Eukaryota, Metazoa, Mollusca, Cephalopoda, Sepiida, Sepiidae.
GGCCAUAUCGCAUUGAAACACCGGUUCCUGUUCAAUCAUCAGAAUUAAGCAACGUCGUGCCUGGUCAGUACUUAGAUGGGUGACCGCUUGGCAAUAUCCGGUGCUGUAA